AAGAUUUUGUUCACACAAACUGAUAUGGGCAUAAUGGUUACAGAUAAAAUCCUGAAGUUCUCAUGAAUCUCUCCUGAGAAGCCUACGAAAGAUGAACUCGGACCAUCAAGAUGAUUGGAGUGUCUCCUCCUCAGAAAGCACAAGCAAAGGACUUUGCAAGGGAGGAAGACAAACGGCUCCGCAGCCCCUCAUGUGCAAUCUUGAACGUGUGGCUUCUCCUUUCUGAUGCUCUGUGACUCUAGACCAAGACUGGGAAUAAAGCUCUCCUUACCUGACCUGUGUGUUAUGGA
This 290-nucleotide long non-coding RNA is filed under the name Mus spicilegus (steppe mouse). Its description in RNAcentral is "lncRNA (ENSMSIG00000011849.1)". Lineage: Eukaryota; Metazoa; Chordata; Mammalia; Rodentia; Muridae. The record is from RNAcentral.